RNAcentral lists this ribosomal RNA (789 nucleotides) under Triticum aestivum (bread wheat). RNAcentral's name for it is "partial small subunit ribosomal RNA". Lineage: Eukaryota; Viridiplantae; Streptophyta; Magnoliopsida; Poales; Poaceae. The record is from RNAcentral.
AUGGCGUCCCUCCUCUUCCUGCCGCACACGACGCCCACGGCCUCCCCGCGCGCCGCGGCCAGGCCUAGGGCCGGGGCCAUCACCUGCGGCCCGCGCGACAACCGCGGCCCGCUCCAGCGCGGCCGCUCCCUCUCCACGGAGGCCAUCCACGCCGUGCAGUCCCUCAAGCGCCUCACCGCCGCCGACCGCUCCCCGUCGGCCGCCCGCGGCGCGGCCUCCGCGUCCCUCGGCCGCCUCCUCCGGGCCGAUCUCCUCGCCGCCAUGGCCGAGCUCCAGCGGCAGGGCCACUGGUCCCUCGCCCUCGCCGCGCUCCACGUGGCGCGCGCCGAGCCCUGGUACCGGCCCGACCCGGAGCUCUACGCCACGUUCGUCUCCUCCUCGCCGCCCUCCGAGGCCGCCGGCGGCGCCGUGGACGCGCUCGUGGAGGCGUUCCUCGAGGAGAAGGAGGAGCGGCGCGGCGGCGGGCGGCUCUCGGAGUCGGAGGGGCCGUGGGUGGGGGUGGACGUGUACAAGCUCACGAGGCUGGUGCGCGCGCUGGUGGCCAAGGGCAGGGCGCGCGCGGCGUGCCGGGUGUACGAGGCGGCGGUGAGGAGGGGAGGCUGCGAGGUGGACGAGUACAUGUACCGGGUGAUGGCGCGGGGGAUGAAGCGGCUGGGGCUCGAGGCCGAGGCGGCGGAGGUGGAGGCCGACUUCGCCGAGUGGGAGGCCAGGGUCUCGCCGCCGGCGAGGCACCUGCUCGACGAAAUGCGCGCGAGGGAGGAGAGCAACAAGACGACGACGACGGCUUAG